RNAcentral lists this ribosomal RNA (608 nucleotides) under uncultured bacterium. RNAcentral's name for it is "bacterial SSU rRNA". The stretch from base 1 to 518 matches the Rfam family "Bacterial small subunit ribosomal RNA", at positions 338 to 873 of the family's 1533-position model. The record is from RNAcentral.
CCUACGGGAGGCAGCAGUGGGGAAUCUUGCGCAAUGGGCGAAAGCCUGACGCAGCAACGCCGCGUGCGGGAUGAAGGCCUUAGGGUUGUAAACCGCUUUCAGCAGGGAAGAAAAUGACUGUACCUGCAGAAGAAGGUGCGGCCAACUACGUGCCAGCAGCCGCGGUGACACGUAGGCACCAAGCGUUGUCCGGAUUUAUUGGGCGUAAAGAGCUCGUAGGCGGUUCAGUUAGUUGGGUGUGAAAACUCCGGGCUUAACCCGGAGCCGCCACCCAAUACUGCUGUGACUAGAGUUCGGUAGGGGAGCGGGGAAUUCCUAGUGUAGCGGUGAAAUGCGCAGAUAUUAGGAGGAACACCGGUGGCGAAGGCGCCGCUCUGGGCCGAAACUGACGCUGAGGAGCGAAAGCAUGGGUAGCAAACAGGAUUAGAUACCCUGGUAGUCCAUGCCGUAAACGUUGGGCACUAGGUGUGGGUCGUCAUCACGAACGUACCGCGCCGUCGCUACGCAUAGUGCCCGCCGUCGGGAGGUACGGUCGCGAGACGUAAACGUUAAACGGUAAAGUUAGACGGCGUGGUACGUGCCGACGGCGACGACGAGGGGAGGUUAGG